This 468-nucleotide ribosomal RNA is filed under the name uncultured bacterium. RNAcentral describes it as "partial 16S ribosomal RNA". It matches the Rfam family "Bacterial small subunit ribosomal RNA", at positions 28 to 507 of the family's 1533-position model. The record is from RNAcentral.
GACGAACGCUGGCGGCGUGCUUAACACAUGCAAGUCGAACGGAAAGGCCCUGCUUUUGUGGCGGGCUCGAGUGGCGCACGGAUGAAUAUCACGUGAGUAACCUGACCACAGCUUUGAGCUAACGCCAAGACCCUGUGGCUAGUGCCGGAUAAGAGCUCCUCCUGCCUAGUGGGGGCUGGCAAGUUUUGGCGGAUGGGGAUGGGCUCGCGGCUUCUCAGCUGGUUGGUGGGGUCGUGGCUUACCAAGGCUUUGACGGGAAGCCGGCCGGAGAGGGUGACCGGCCACAUUGGGACGGAGAUACGGCCGAGACUCCUACGGGAGGAAGCAGUGGGGAAGAAUGCACAAUGGGCGGCAGCCGGAUGCAGCAACGACGCGUGCUGGAUGACGGACUUCGGGGGGUAAUCCGCUUUCGCCCGUGACGAAGAGUGAGUGACGGUAAUGGGUAAAGAAGCACCGGCUAACUACGUG